AAUCGGUUAAACCUGGGUCCCGGGGAGGGGUGGGGGAAUUCCCCGUGAAGGCGGGUAAAAUGGGUAGAUAUAGGGGGAACCCCAGGGGCGAAGGGGGUUCCCUGGCCUGUAACGACGGUCAAGCACGAAAAGCGGGGGGAGCAAAUAGGAUUAGAUACCCUAGUAGUCCACGCCGUAAACGAUGAAUAUUAAGUGUUGGAGAAAUUCAGUGCUACAGUUAACGCAAUAAGUAUUCCGCCUGGGGAGUAUGCGCGCAAGCGUAAAACUCAAAGGAAUUGACGGGGGCCCGCACAAGCGGUGGAUCAUGUGGUUUAAUUUGACGCAACGCGAAGAACCUUACCAGGUCUUGACAUAUCGGGCAAAACUCUAGAGAUAGAGCUAUAAUUAUUCCGAAUACAGGUGGUGCAUGGUUGUCGUCAGCUCGUGUCGUGAGAUGUUGGGUUAAGUCCCGUAACGAGCGCAACCCCUAUCUUUAGUUGCCAGCAUUAAGCCGCGGACUCUAAAGAGACUGCCGGUGAUAAACCGGAGGAAGGUGGGGAGGACGUCAAAUCAUCAUGCCCCCUAUGACCUGGGCUACACACGUGAUACAAUGGCGUAUACAACGGGAAGCGAAACAGUGAUGUGGAGCAAAUCCUAAAAAGUACGUCUCAGUUCGGAUCGUAGUCUGCAACUCGACUACGUGAAGUUGGAAUCGCUAGUAAUCGCAGAUCAGAGUGCUGCGGUGAAUACGUUCCCGGGUCUUGUACACACCGCCCGUCAA
This 760-nucleotide ribosomal RNA is filed under the name uncultured bacterium. RNAcentral's name for it is "bacterial SSU rRNA". It matches the Rfam family "Bacterial small subunit ribosomal RNA", at positions 630 to 1400 of the family's 1533-position model. The record is from RNAcentral.